GACGGAGGAUGCAAGUGUUAUCCGGAAUCACUGGGCGUAAAGCGUCUGUAGGUGGUUUAAAAAGUCCACUGUUAAAAAUUGAAGCUUAACUUCAAAGAUGCCGUGGAAACUUUUAAACUUGAGUAUGGUAGGGGUAGAGGGAAUUUCCAGUGGAGCGGUGAAAUGCGUAGAUAUUGGAAAGACCACCAAUGGCGAAGGCACUCUACUGGGCCAUUACUGACACUGAGAGACGAAAGCUAGGGGGAGCAAAUGGG
Molecule: ribosomal RNA, 254 nt
Filed under: uncultured bacterium
Lineage: Bacteria
Description: partial 16S ribosomal RNA
Rfam family: Bacterial small subunit ribosomal RNA
Source: RNAcentral